Molecule: ribosomal RNA, 472 nt
Filed under: uncultured organism
Description: partial 16S ribosomal RNA
Rfam family: Bacterial small subunit ribosomal RNA
Source: RNAcentral
ACACUCCUGCGGGAGGCAGCAGUGGGGAAUUUUGGACAAUGGGCGAAAGCCUGAUCCAGCAAUGCCGCGUGAGUGAAGAAGGCCUUCGGGUUGUAAAGCUCUUUUGUCAGGGAAGAAACGGUGAGAGCUAAUAUCUCUUGCUAAUGACGGUACCUGAAGAAUAAGCACCGGCUAACUACGUGCCAGCAGCCGCGGUAAUACGUAGGGUGCAAGCGUUAAUCGGAAUUACUGGGCGUAAAGCGUGCGCAGGCGGUUUUGUAAGUCUGAUGUGAAAUCCCCGGGCUCAACCUGGGAAUUGCAUUGGAGACUGCAAGGCUAGAAUCUGGCAGAGGGGGGUAGAAUUCCACGUGUAGCAGUGAAAUGCGUAGAUAUGUGGAGGAACACCGAUGGCGAAGGCAGCCCCCUGGGUCAAGAUUGACGCUCAUGCACGAAAGCGUGGGGAGCAAACAGGAUUAGAUACCCCUGGUAGUCC